Molecule: long non-coding RNA, 321 nt
Filed under: Setaria italica (foxtail millet)
Lineage: Eukaryota; Viridiplantae; Streptophyta; Magnoliopsida; Poales; Poaceae
Description: long non-coding RNA (SITA_LNC004891)
Source: RNAcentral
AUUUAUCACCAAAACACACCAUUAUCAAAGGUGCGAAAGGGCCUAGAUGAUGCCUAGGUGCUUCAAUCUCUCCUUUUUUGGUGAUAGAUGACAACACAACAAGUAGAGAUAUAGAAUUUGAAUCUAAAGCACAUUUCAACACAAUUAACGCAUGGAAAGAUAUAGAGAAGGUAAACAAGCACACAAGCAUUAACUGAAAGUAAACCACACAUAUGAGUAGACAUGUCAACACACCAACAAGCACAAGAUCAAAAUAACAUGUCUAGACAUGAAGAUCCACAAAAGAAACAAUACACUCCCUCCAAGCUCCCCCUAUCUCUA